Molecule: unclassified non-coding RNA, 194 nt
Filed under: Basidiomycota sp.
Lineage: Eukaryota; Fungi; Basidiomycota
Description: partial contains small subunit ribosomal RNA, internal transcribed spacer 1, and 5.8S ribosomal RNA
Rfam family: Eukaryotic small subunit ribosomal RNA (bases 1-47)
Source: RNAcentral
AAAGUCGUAACAAGGUUUCCGUAGGUGAACCUGCGGAAGGAUCAUUAGUGGGCUUGUCAUUAGUGGACUUGUAUUAACCACAAACACCUGUGAACUGUGGGUGCGUGCUUGGGCGCGCGCUUUUACAAACGACGAAUGUAACAAAUGUGUAUUAGCAACUAAGAAAACUUUCAACAACGGAUCUCUUGGCUCUC